Molecule: small nuclear RNA, 107 nt
Organism: Callithrix jacchus (white-tufted-ear marmoset)
Lineage: Eukaryota; Metazoa; Chordata; Mammalia; Primates; Cebidae
Source: Ensembl
GUGCUUGCCUCAGGAGCACAUGUACUAAAACCAGAACAAUACAGGGAAGAUUAGUAUGCCGCCUGUACAAGGAUGAUUUGCACAUUUAAGACUUGUUCCACAUUUCU